RNAcentral lists this unclassified non-coding RNA (352 nucleotides) under soil metagenome. RNAcentral describes it as "partial contains 5.8S ribosomal RNA, internal transcribed spacer 2, and large subunit ribosomal RNA". The stretch from base 1 to 120 matches the Rfam family "5.8S ribosomal RNA", at positions 35 to 154 of the family's 154-position model. The record is from RNAcentral.
GAUGAAGAACGCAGCGAAAUGCGAUAAGUAAUGUGAAUUGCAGAAUUCAGUGAAUCAUCGAAUCUUUGAACGCACAUUGCGCCCGCCAGUAUUCUGGCGGACAUGCCUGUUCGAGCGUCAUUACAACCCUCAGGCCCCCGGGCCUGGCGUUGGGGAUCGGCGGAGCCCCCCGUGGGCACACGCCGUCCCCCAAAUGCAGUGGCGGUCCCGCCGCAGCUUCCAUCGCGUAGUAGCUAACACCUCGCGACUGGAGAGCGGCGCGGCCACGCCGUAAAACACCCAACUCUUCUGAAGUUGACCUCGAAUCAGGUAGGAAUACCCGCUGAACUUAAGCAUAUCAAUAAGCGGAGGA